ACGGGAGGCAGCAGUGGGGAAUAUUGCACAAUGGGGGAAACCCUGAUGCAGCGACGCCGCGUGAGUGAAGAAGUAUUUCGGUAUGUAAAGCUCUAUCAGCAGGGAAGAAAACAAUGACGGUACCUGACUAAGAAGCCCCGGCUAACUACGUGCCAGCAGCCGCGGUAAUACGUAGGGGGCAAGCGUUAUCCGGAUUUACUGGGUGUAAAGGGAGUGUAGGCGGCUGCGCAAGUCAGAAGUGAAAGCCCGGGGCUUAACCCCGGGACUGCUUUUGAAACUGCGUAGCUUGAGUGCAGGAGAGGCAAGCGGAAUUCCUAGUGUAGCGGUGAAAUGCGUAGAUAUUAGGAAGAACACCGGUGGCGAAGGCGGCUUGCUGGACUGAGACUGACGCUGAGGCUCGAAAGCGUGGGGAGCAAACAGGAUUAGAUACCCUGGUA
This 437-nucleotide ribosomal RNA is filed under the name uncultured Lachnospiraceae bacterium. RNAcentral's name for it is "partial 16S ribosomal RNA". It matches the Rfam family "Bacterial small subunit ribosomal RNA", at positions 341 to 792 of the family's 1533-position model. Lineage: Bacteria; Bacillati; Bacillota; Clostridia; Lachnospirales; Lachnospiraceae. The record is from RNAcentral.